ACCGUUCAGGGGUAAACCUGAGAAACCCGAAAGAUCGAACGGGGAGAUUCAUCGUCAGCGGCGCUGGCUUCCGUGCGGCGUGCGAUGUCGGCGACCGUGUUCCCUCGCAGGUUCGCGGCUACUCGUCGGCACGCCGUCGCUGCGUGAUGCCCGGUGACGCCGGCGUGCACUUCUCCCCAAGUAGGACGUCGCGACCCGUUGGGUGUCGAUCUACGGGCCGCGUAGGCGACUGUCCCGUCGCGCGCGUUUUCGGACGCGCGUGCGUUGGCAGACGCGCGGAUCUCCCGACCGACUGCCCGACGGUAGCAUAAUGGUAUCGAGCCGCAGCUCGUAAGUGCGUUCUCGGCCCGUCGCAAGCUCGUUCACGCUUCUCACGGAGCUACGGACCCAGUGCCGUACCCGUGGCUGGACAGCUGUUGGCUGGCGGUGUUCUCGAACCGGCUCGUCCGUCAUUUUGUCGAACGUCUCGCACGUGCGGAUACCAGUCGGCGACGCUACUGCUUCGGGUACUUUCAGGACCCGUCUUGAAACACGGACCAAGGAGUCUAACAUGUACGCGAGUCAUUGGGACAUGUCGCAUGAAACCUAAAGGCGUAUUGAAAGAGAAGGUCGGCCUCGCGUCGACCGAGGGAGGAUGGGUCGCGUUGCGAUGCGGCCUCGCACUCCCGGGGCGUCUCGAGCUCAUUGCGAGCUGAGGCGCACCCAGAGCGUACACGUUGGGACCCGAAAGAUGGUGAACUAUGCCUGGUCAGGACGAAGUCAGGGGAAACCCUGAUGGAGGUCCGUAGCGAUUUGUGACGUGCAAAUCGAUCGUAGGAAGCUG
RNAcentral lists this ribosomal RNA (823 nucleotides) under Janzenella innupta. RNAcentral describes it as "partial 28S ribosomal RNA". It matches the Rfam family "Eukaryotic large subunit ribosomal RNA", at positions 404 to 913 of the family's 3401-position model. The record is from RNAcentral. Lineage: Eukaryota; Metazoa; Arthropoda; Insecta; Hymenoptera; Scelionidae.